UACGUAGGGACCGAGCGUUGUCCGGAUUCAUGGGGCGUAAAGAGCUUGUAGGCGGCUGCUCAAGUCGAAUGUGAAAACUCGAGGCUCAACCUCGAGCCUGCAUUCGAUACUGGGCGGCUAGAGUCUGGUAGGGGGAUCUGGAAUUCCUGGUGUAGCGGUGGAAUGCGCAGAUAUCGGGAGGAACACCAGUGGCGAAGGCGACUACCUGGCCUGUUCUUGACGCUGAGGCGCGAAAGCUAGGGGAUCAAACGGG
RNAcentral lists this ribosomal RNA (253 nucleotides) under uncultured bacterium. RNAcentral's name for it is "partial 16S ribosomal RNA". It matches the Rfam family "Bacterial small subunit ribosomal RNA", at positions 524 to 776 of the family's 1533-position model. The record is from RNAcentral.